CCGCGGUUGGCGUAGUGGUAUAACGCGUCACUCGAUUCUAGUGAAGAUCCCGGGUUCGAAUCCCGGACCGCGCA
RNAcentral lists this transfer RNA (74 nucleotides) under Neurospora crassa. RNAcentral's name for it is "tRNA-Asn (ATT) (tRNA-Asn-ATT-1-1)". It matches the Rfam family "tRNA". Rfam says of the family: Transfer RNA (tRNA) molecules are approximately 80 nucleotides in length. Their secondary structure includes four short double-helical elements and three loops (D, anti-codon, and T loops). Further hydrogen bonds mediate the characteristic L-shaped molecular structure. tRNAs have two regions of fundamental functional importance: the anti-codon, which is responsible for specific mRNA codon recognition, and the 3' end, to which the tRNAs corresponding amino acid is attached (by aminoacyl-tRNA synthetases). tRNAs cope with the degeneracy of the genetic code in two manners: having more than one tRNA (with a specific anti-codon) for a particular amino acid; and 'wobble' base-pairing, i.e. permitting non-standard base-pairing at the 3rd anti-codon position. Lineage: Eukaryota; Fungi; Ascomycota; Sordariomycetes; Sordariales; Sordariaceae. The record is from RNAcentral. RNAcentral also lists the same sequence under 1 other name.